This 653-nucleotide ribosomal RNA is filed under the name Aleurocystidiellum subcruentatum. RNAcentral describes it as "eukaryotic LSU rRNA". The stretch from base 221 to 374 matches the Rfam family "5.8S ribosomal RNA". The record is from RNAcentral. Lineage: Eukaryota; Fungi; Basidiomycota; Agaricomycetes; Russulales.
UGUAAAGCUGACUGCGGAGGACAUUAACAAGUUUGAACGGAGGUUGUCGCUGGCCCUCAGGGGCAUGUGCACGCCUCCACUCUCACUUCAUCUCCCACACCUGUGCACCCUUGCGUGGGCCCACCGACCCCUUCACGGGGGCUCUAUGGGCUCGCGUCCUUUUUCACAAACCCCCCAUGUAUGUCUUCAGAAUGUCGAAUGCUAUAAACGCAUCUUAUACAACUUUCAACAACGGAUCUCUUGGCUCUCGCAUCGAUGAAGAACGCAGCGAAAUGCGAUAAGUAAUGUGAAUUGCAGAAUUCAGUGAAUCAUCGAAUCUUUGAACGCACCUUGCGCCCCUUGGUAUUCCGAGGGGCACGCCUGUCUGAGUGUCGUUAUAUUCUCAACCAAGGUCUCCUUUCGAGGUUGGACCUUGGCUUGGACUUGGAGGCUCUUGCCGGCCUUGACCCCUUCGGGGCGGUCGGCUCCUCUUGAAUGCAUUAGUGUGACCCUCUCGCGGUCGUCCGCCUCUGGCUUGAUAAUUGUCUAUGCCGUUGGUGUGUCGGUCCGUGAGCUCAUGUGGGCCUCGCUUCUAACCGUCCUCUCGGGGACAGCUCCAUCUACACUUGACCUCAGAUCAGGCGGGACUACCCGCUGAACUUAAGCAUAUAAAA